This 439-nucleotide ribosomal RNA is filed under the name uncultured bacterium. Its description in RNAcentral is "partial 16S ribosomal RNA". It matches the Rfam family "Bacterial small subunit ribosomal RNA", at positions 339 to 795 of the family's 1533-position model. The record is from RNAcentral.
CUACGGGAGGCCCCAGUGAGGAAUAUUGCACAAUGGGGGGAACCCUGAUGCAGCAACGCCGCGUGGAGGAUGACACAUUUCGGUGCGUAAACUCCUUUUAUAGGUCAAGAUAAUGACGGUAGCCUAUGGAUAAGCGCCGGCUAACUCCGUGCCAGCAGCCGCGGUAAUACGGAGGGCGCAAGCGUUACUCGGAAUCACUGGGCGUAAAGAGCAUGUAGGCGGAUUGUUAAGUUGGAAGUGAAAUCCUAUGGCUUAACCAUAGAACUGCUUCCAAAACUGAUAAUCUAGAGUAUGUGAGAGGUAGAUGGAAUUUCUGGUGUAGGGGUAAAAUCCGUAGAGAUCAGAAGGAAUACCGAUUGCGAAGGCGAUCUACUGGAACAUUACUGACGCUCAGAUGCGAAAGCGUGGGGAGCAAACAGGAUUAGAUACCCUAGUAGUC